UGAUUCUAUUAACUACUUCAUUUGUUGG
Molecule: small RNA, 28 nt
Filed under: Bombyx mori (domestic silkworm)
Lineage: Eukaryota; Metazoa; Arthropoda; Insecta; Lepidoptera; Bombycidae
Description: piRNA piR-bmo-1585617
Source: RNAcentral